RNAcentral lists this ribosomal RNA (441 nucleotides) under uncultured bacterium. Its description in RNAcentral is "partial 16S ribosomal RNA". It matches the Rfam family "Bacterial small subunit ribosomal RNA", at positions 338 to 795 of the family's 1533-position model. The record is from RNAcentral.
CCUACGGGAGGCAGCAGUGGGGGAUAUUGCACAAUGGGGGAAACCCUGAUGCAGCGACGCCGCGUGAGUGAAGGAGCAUUUCGGCACGUAAAGCCCUAUCAGCAGGGAAGAAGAAAGACGGUACCUGACUAAGAAGCCCCGGCUAACUACGUGCCAGCAGCCGCGGUAAUACGUAGGGGGCAAGCGUUAUCCGGAUUUACUGGGUGUAAAGGGAGCGUAGACGGCUGUGUAAGUCUGAAGUGAAAGUCCAGGGCUCAACCCUGGGAGUGCUUUGGAAACUGUGGGGCUAGAGUGCAGGAGAGGUAGGUGGAAUUCGUGGUGUAGCGGUGAAAUGCGUAGAUAUUAGGAAGAACACCGAUGGCGAAGGCAGCUUACGAAACAGUAACUGACGUUGAGGCUCGAAAGCGUGGGGAGCAAACAGGAUUAGAUACCCGAGUAGUC